This 253-nucleotide ribosomal RNA is filed under the name uncultured bacterium. Its description in RNAcentral is "partial 16S ribosomal RNA". It matches the Rfam family "Bacterial small subunit ribosomal RNA", at positions 524 to 776 of the family's 1533-position model. The record is from RNAcentral.
UUCGUAGGGGGCGAGCGUUGUCCGGAUUUAUUGGGCGUAAAGAGCGUGUAGGCGGUUCGGUAAGUCUGUCGUGAAAUCCUGAGGCUCAACCUUGGACGUGCGAUGGAUACUGCCGGGCUAGAGGAUGGUAGAGGCGAGUGGAAUUCUCGGUGUAGCGGUGAAAUGCGCAGAUAUCGGGAGGAACACCGGUGGCGAAGGCGGCGACCUGGGUCGAGACUGACGCUGAGGCGCGAAAGCGUGGGGAGCAAACAGG